UGAAAUCACAAUUAUCAUUCUCACGUAGUUUGUGUGUUAAUUUUGCCAAUUCCGCAUAGUCCAUCAGUUUUUCUUGCCACAGUUCUUUCAUCAGGAUUUCCUCACUCUUCCACCCUUGUGCUAUGAAGACUCUUGCCGCUGUUGUCGCAUACAUAAAAAUAUUUUUUAAUUUCUUUGGCAGGUCUUUUCCCUCAAUCCCUAAUAAGAAAGCUUCAGGCUUUUUCACAAAUGUUGAAUGGAACGUUUUCUUUAGCUCAUUAGAUAUCAUUUCCCAAAACAUUUUAAUUUUACUGCAGUCCUGGGCUGGGCUGGAUGAAUCCCAAACUGGAAUUAAGAUUGCUGGAAGAAAUAUCAACAACCUCAGAUAUGCAGAUGACACAACCUUGAUGGCAGAAAGUGACGCGGAAUUAAAGAACCUUUUAAUGAGGGUGAAAGAGCAGAGCACAAAAUAUGGUCUGAGGCUCAACAUCAAAAAAACGAAGAUCAUGGCCACUGGGCCCAUCACCUCCUGGCAAAUAGAAGGGGAGGAAAUGGAGGCAGUGUGAGAUUUUACUUUCUUGGAGAUGGUGGUGUUGGGAUACUGCCAGGGAGACAAAGUCCAUCAUGGCCCCCAAGCCGGCUGCCGGACGAUCCAUCGAUCUCCCGUAGGUACGCAGUAUCAGCAAUUAGCGACAUGAGUUUCUAGAAGAUUUCUUGCCACAUUCCAGAGCUCAUGCACACUCUAUCAGCAGAUAAUGCACAGCCAAAAGUUGCACUCAGGAGAGCAUUAUUUACAAGUUUAUUCAGCGUUGAUCAGAACACAGAAAAACAUGACUGCCUGCUUUAGUGUCUACGACACACAGAGAGAAAACGAAAGCAAUAGCAAACAUAAACAUCCUGUGAACAGGAAAUACGCAGACUCUGUGACUCACAGCCUGCUCCCUUUUAAGGUGGAACGGAAAUAUCCUAACAGGUGGGACAGCGUUCUCGAAGCUACAAACAUGAGUUUGACCAAACUGCGGGAAGCAGUGGAAGACAGGAGUGCCUGGCAUGCUCUAGUCCAUGGGUUCACAAAGAGUCGGACACGACUAAACGACUAAACGAUAACAACAACAACAACAACAACAACAACAACAACACGGUAUAUUUGCAAACCAUUUGUAGUCAUUGUUUAGCAGAGAGAUAGGCUUGUAGUUUGUUGUUGUUGUUGUUUAGUCGUGUCCAAUCAGAUCAAUACUUUCUGUACUAAGAAAUACAAACUGACAAGUCUGACUCUAUAGAUAUUCCCCUGGCUCUAUAUUCUCCUCACAGAUGAUCAGAGCCAGUUCUCCCUCCAUCCAACCCUCUCUCCCAUCUCAAAUCCAGCCCUCUUCAACUCUCUCCCUUUUAUUGCCCUGCCCAAAGUCCUGGCUCCAUCCCCUUCCCUCUGUCAAGGUAGCCAAUCAGAGAGGCUCUGGCCCUCUGGUGGAAUUCUCAGGCACUGCAUCCCCAGACUCUGCUGUCCAUCAAACCUCCGUCUUAUAUUGGUGCAUCUGGUUCUUCCUGCCUAAGUGCAAAGCUUUACUUUUCUCCCUACUGAAAUUCAUUUUGUGAGCUUGGGCCCGGUUCUCCAAUCCAUUAAGGUCAUUUUGAAUCCCAAUUCUGUCUUUUGUGGCAUUAGCUGCUCUUCCCAGUUUGGUUCACCUGAAAAUUUCAUCAGCAUCCCCUGAAUUCCUCCACCGAAUUUUUUUUUAUAAAGUAGUUGAGCAACAACGGGCCCAGGACAGAAUCAUGUGGCAUCUCACUUGUCACUUCAUCCCAGGAUGACGAAGAACCAUUACUGAAAUCUUCGGAUGAAGGGCAGAACAUGACUUUUAUAAAUAAUAAAAAGGAUAUCAACAAGCUGAAACAUGUACAGAGGAUGGCAACCAAGAAUCUAUUGAUUUAUUGAUUGAUUUGAUUGAAUUUG
This is a non-coding RNA of Podarcis lilfordi (Lilford's wall lizard), 1927 nucleotides long. The record is from the annotation of a GenBank genome assembly. NCBI's taxonomy places the organism in Eukaryota, Metazoa, Chordata, Lepidosauria, Squamata, Lacertidae.